This 379-nucleotide ribosomal RNA is filed under the name uncultured Cortinarius. Its description in RNAcentral is "eukaryotic LSU rRNA". The stretch from base 76 to 229 matches the Rfam family "5.8S ribosomal RNA". Lineage: Eukaryota; Fungi; Basidiomycota; Agaricomycetes; Agaricales; Cortinariaceae. The record is from RNAcentral.
ACCUUUUCAGGGCUAUGUUGCUUCAUUAAACCCCAAUUGGAUGUCCUUAAAAUGGUGGGCCCAUAUUAUUUAAACCACUUUCCGCCACGGAUCCCUUGGCUCUCGGAUCGAUGAAGAACGCAGCGAAAUGCCAUAAGUAAUGGGAAUUGCAGAAUUCAGUGAAUCAACCAAUCCUUGAACGGACCCUGCGCUCCCUGGUAUUCCCAGGAGCCUGCCUGGUUGAAUGUCAAUAAUAUAACCCCCAACCUUUCUUUUGGUGAAGGGGUUGGAAGUGGGGGUUUGCUGGCCCCCUUAAGAAGAUCAGCUUCCCCGAAAUGCAUUAACCAAACCACCUUGGUCCAUGGGGUGAUAACUAACCUCGCUUAAGUAUGUGAAGGGC